UCAGGCUUACACAUGCAGUCGAGGGGCAGCAUGCCGGUUGCUUGCAACCGGUGAUGGCGACCGGCGCACGGGUGAGUAACGCGUAUCCAACCUUCCCGCGACCAAGGGAUAACCUGCCGAAAGGCAGACUAAUACCUUAUGUCCUCCUUUGAAGGCAUCUGACGAGGAGCAAAGAUCCGUCGGUCACGGAUGGGGAUGCGUCCGAUUAGCUUGUUGGCGGGGCAACGGCCCACCAAGGCUUCGAUCGGUAGGGGUUCUGAGAGGAAGGCCCCCCACACUGGAACUGAGACACGGUCCAGACUCCUACGGGAGGCAGCAGUGAGGAAUAUUGGUCAAUGGGCGGAAGCCUGAACCAGCCAAGUAGCGUGCAGGANGACGGCCCUACGGGUUGUAAACUGCUUUUAUGCGGGGAUAAAGUUGCCCACGCGUGGGUUUUUGCAGGUACCGCAUGAAUAAGGACCGGCUAAUUCCGUGCCAGCAGCCGCGGUAAUACGGAAGGUCCGGGCGUUAUCCGGAUUUAUUGGGUUUAAAGGGAGCGCAGGCCGCCGUGCAAGCGUGCCGUGAAAAGCAGCGGCCCAACCGCUGCCCUGCGGCGCGAACUGCUUGGCUUGAGUGCGCCGGAAGCGGGCGGAAUUCGUGGUGUAGCGGUGAAAUGCUUAGAUAUCACGAAGAACCCCGAUUGCGAANGCAGCCCGCUGUGGCGCCACUGACGCUGAGGCUCGAAGUGCGGGUAUCGAACAGGAUUANAUACCGGGGAA
This 758-nucleotide ribosomal RNA is filed under the name Segatella buccae. RNAcentral's name for it is "bacterial SSU rRNA". It matches the Rfam family "Bacterial small subunit ribosomal RNA", at positions 42 to 792 of the family's 1533-position model. Lineage: Bacteria; Pseudomonadati; Bacteroidota; Bacteroidia; Bacteroidales; Prevotellaceae. The record is from RNAcentral.